Molecule: transfer RNA, 77 nt
Filed under: Pelagibacterium lentulum
Lineage: Bacteria; Pseudomonadati; Pseudomonadota; Alphaproteobacteria; Hyphomicrobiales; Devosiaceae
Description: tRNA-His
Source: RNAcentral
GGCGCGCCUGAUAGCGCGCUUCAUGUCGCGGGGCUUUGUGACGGCCUCGAUCAUCGGCUCGGCUCCGAUGCGCGUUU